Molecule: long non-coding RNA, 410 nt
Organism: Poeciliopsis prolifica (blackstripe livebearer)
Lineage: Eukaryota; Metazoa; Chordata; Actinopteri; Cyprinodontiformes; Poeciliidae
Exons: 2
Source: RefSeq, a predicted model, not a curated record
CUCAGAUCAAAAUAGCUGUUUGUCCUGUCUGCUGGUUGGCAAGCAAGCAGUGAUAAUGAAGACUUCAGAGCACACAGAUCGUCCAGCUCUGCUGGAGACCAGAGGCCAAGAGAAUGAAGGAGAAAAAAACAGAGUAAUUUGUGUCUGUGUUGACAGACUGGCGACCUGUCAGGGUGAACCCCGCCUCUCACCCCGAACCUGAGAGGCGGGGUGAGAGGCACUAGCACCUCCCGACCCCGAUAGGGACAAGGGCGAACAGGAAGUGGAUGGAUGGAUCUUCCAGUAUUUUCCUUUUGUCUUGUCAGUAGUUAGACUGGAUGCCAGCAGUUAAAGAAAAAAGAUUAAUUGUGGAAUAAUUCAGCUGUAAAGCUUGGCUAUUUUGUUAAUACAUUUUCAGAUUUGACUAGAAA